This 2664-nucleotide ribosomal RNA is filed under the name Escherichia coli. RNAcentral describes it as "23S ribosomal RNA". It matches the Rfam family "Bacterial large subunit ribosomal RNA". Lineage: Bacteria; Pseudomonadati; Pseudomonadota; Gammaproteobacteria; Enterobacterales; Enterobacteriaceae. The record is from RNAcentral.
AGUAGCGGCGAGCGAACGGGGAGCAGCCCAGAGCCUGAAUCAGUGUGUGUGUUAGUGGAAGCGUCUGGAAAGGCGCGCGAUACAGGGUGACAGCCCCGUACACAAAAAUGCACAUGCUGUGAGCUCGAUGAGUAGGGCGGGACACGUGGUAUCCUGUCUGAAUAUGGGGGGACCAUCCUCCAAGGCUAAAUACUCCUGACUGACCGAUAGUGAACCAGUACCGUGAGGGAAAGGCGAAAAGAACCCCGGCGAGGGGAGUGAAAAAGAACCUGAAACCGUGUACGUACAAGCAGUGGGAGCACGCUUAGGCGUGUGACUGCGUACCUUUUGUAUAAUGGGUCAGCGACUUAUAUUCUGUAGCAAGGUUAACCGAAUAGGGGAGCCGAAGGGAAACCGAGUCUUAACUGGGCGUUAAGUUGCAGGGUAUAGACCCGAAACCCGGUGAUCUAGCCAUGGGCAGGUUGAAGGUUGGGUAACACUAACUGGAGGACCGAACCGACUAAUGUUGAAAAAUUAGCGGAUGACUUGUGGCUGGGGGUGAAAGGCCAAUCAAACCGGGAGAUAGCUGGUUCUCCCCGAAAGCUAUUUAGGUAGCGCCUCGUGAAUUCAUCUCCGGGGGUAGAGCACUGUUUCGGCAAGGGGGUCAUCCCGACUUACCAACCCGAUGCAAACUGCGAAUACCGGAGAAUGUUAUCACGGGAGACACACGGCGGGUGCUAACGUCCGUCGUGAAGAGGGAAACAACCCAGACCGCCAGCUAAGGUCCCAAAGUCAUGGUUAAGUGGGAAACGAUGUGGGAAGGCCCAGACAGCCAGGAUGUUGGCUUAGAAGCAGCCAUCAUUUAAAGAAAGCGUAAUAGCUCACUGGUCGAGUCGGCCUGCGCGGAAGAUGUAACGGGGCUAAACCAUGCACCGAAGCUGCGGCAGCGACGCUUAUGCGUUGUUGGGUAGGGGAGCGUUCUGUAAGCCUGCGAAGGUGUGCUGUGAGGCAUGCUGGAGGUAUCAGAAGUGCGAAUGCUGACAUAAGUAACGAUAAAGCGGGUGAAAAGCCCGCUCGCCGGAAGACCAAGGGUUCCUGUCCAACGUUAAUCGGGGCAGGGUGAGUCGACCCCUAAGGCGAGGCCGAAAGGCGUAGUCGAUGGGAAACAGGUUAAUAUUCCUGUACUUGGUGUUACUGCGAAGGGGGGACGGAGAAGGCUAUGUUGGCCGGGCGACGGUUGUCCCGGUUUAAGCGUGUAGGCUGGUUUUCCAGGCAAAUCCGGAAAAUCAAGGCUGAGGCGUGAUGACGAGGCACUACGGUGCUGAAGCAACAAAUGCCCUGCUUCCAGGAAAAGCCUCUAAGCAUCAGGUAACAUCAAAUCGUACCCCAAACCGACACAGGUGGUCAGGUAGAGAAUACCAAGGCGCUUGAGAGAACUCGGGUGAAGGAACUAGGCAAAAUGGUGCCGUAACUUCGGGAGAAGGCACGCUGAUAUGUAGGUGAAGUCCCUCGCGGAUGGAGCUGAAAUCAGUCGAAGAUACCAGCUGGCUGCAACUGUUUAUUAAAAACACAGCACUGUGCAAACACGAAAGUGGACGUAUACGGUGUGACGCCUGCCCGGUGCCGGAAGGUUAAUUGAUGGGGUCAGCGCAAGCGAAGCUCUUGAUCGAAGCCCCGGUAAACGGCGGCCGUAACUAUAACGGUCCUAAGGUAGCGAAAUUCCUUGUCGGGUAAGUUCCGACCUGCACGAAUGGCGUAAUGAUGGCCAGGCUGUCUCCACCCGAGACUCAGUGAAAUUGAACUCGCUGUGAAGAUGCAGUGUACCCGCGGCAAGACGGAAAGACCCCGUGAACCUUUACUAUAGCUUGACACUGAACAUUGAGCCUUGAUGUGUAGGAUAGGUGGGAGGCUUUGAAGUGUGGACGCCAGUCUGCAUGGAGCCGGCCUUGAAAUACCACCCUUUAAUGUUUGAUGUUCUAACGUUGACCCGUAAUCCGGGUUGCGGACAGUGUCUGGUGGGUAGUUUGACUGGGGCGGUCUCCUCCUAAAGAGUAACGGAGGAGCACGAAGGUUGGCUAAUCCUGGUCGGACAUCAGGAGGUUAGUGCAAUGGCAUAAGCCAGCUUGACUGCGAGCGUGACGGCGCGAGCAGGUGCGAAAGCAGGUCAUAGUGAUCCGGUGGUUCUGAAUGGAAGGGCCAUCGCUCAACGGAUAAAAGGUACUCCGGGGAUAACAGGCUGAUACCGCCCAAGAGUUCAUAUCGACGGCGGUGUUUGGCACCUCGAUGUCGGCUCAUCACAUCCUGGGGCUGAAGUAGGUCCCAAGGGUAUGGCUGUUCGCCAUUUAAAGUGGUACGCGAGCUGGGUUUAGAACGUCGUGAGACAGUUCGGUCCCUAUCUGCCGUGGGCGCUGGAGAACUGAGGGGGGCUGCUCCUAGUACGAGAGGACCGGAGUGGACGCAUCACUGGUGUUCGGGUUGUCAUGCCAAUGGCACUGCCCGGUAGCUAAAUGCGGAAGAGAUAAGUGCUGAAAGCAUCUAAGCACGAAACUUGCCCCGAGAUGAGUUCUCCCUGACUCCUUGAGAGUCCUGAAGGAACGUUGAAGACGACGACGUUGAUAGGCCGGGUGUGUAAGCGCAGCGAUGCGUUGAGCUAACCGGUACUAAUGAACCGUGAGGCUUAACCUU